This is a ribosomal RNA of 600 nucleotides. The stretch from base 178 to 331 matches the Rfam family "5.8S ribosomal RNA".
GUAGCUGGUCCUCUAGGGCAUAUGCACACCUGGAUCAUUUAUGUAAUAUCAUUAAAUAAUUUUUUAUUACCCUUGUGCAUACCUGUAGCUUGAGCCUUGAUAUACUUAUUGGUUUAAGCUAUGAAUUUUAAUAGCUACACACUUGAAAAAUGUUGGGAUUUAUUAUUGAAUAAAUAUAACUUUCAGCAACGGAUCUCUUGGCUCUCGCAUCGAUGAAGAACGCAGCGAAAUGCGAUAAGUAAUGUGAAUUGCAGAAUUCAGUGAAUCAUCGAAUCUUUGAACGCAUCUUGCACUCCUUGGUAUUCUGAGGAGCAUGUCUGUUUGAGUGUCAUAAUUAUUAUCAACUGCUUUGGUUUUAUCAAAGUGAAGUUGGAUGAGUGAAGGAGUGCAGGCAAAACUUUUUAUAUGUUUGCUCUUUCAAAAUAUAUUUAAGGACUGUAUCUUGGAUGAAGCUAUUAAUGCUUAGUGAAAAGAUCAUCAAUAUGAUAAAUUACUAUAUUGUUGAUAAACAUAUACAUCCAAGCUUCUGUCUAUAUAAGCAUAUAUAAUAUUUGACCUCAAAUCAGAUAAGACUACCCGCUGAACUUAAGCAUAUCAAUA